GAUGAACGCUGGCGGCGUGCUUAACACAUGCAAGUCGAACGAAGCAUUUGCGACAGAUUUUUUCGGAAUGAAGUUGCUUAUGACUGAGUGGCGGACGGGUGAGUAACGUGUGGGUAACCUGCCUCGUACUGGGGGAUAGCAGCUGGAAACGGCUGGUAAUACCGCAUAAGCGCACAUAGUUGCAUGACAUUGUGCGAAAAACUCUGGUGGGAUAAGAGGGACGCGCGUCAGAUUAGAUAGUUGGGGAGAUAAAAGGCCACCAAGGCGAGGAUCACUAGCCGAGAAGUGAGGCUGAGCCGACACAUUUGGGGUGGGACGCAGUCCAGAAUCCUACGGGAGGCAGGAGUGGGGAACAGUGCAAAAUGGAGGAAACUAUGAUGGAGCGACGACGGGUGAGUGAAGAAGUAAGUCGUUAUGUAAAGCUCUAUCAGCAGGGAAGAUAGUGACGGUACCUGACCAAGAAGCUCCGGCUAAAUACGUG
RNAcentral lists this ribosomal RNA (481 nucleotides) under uncultured bacterium. Its description in RNAcentral is "partial 16S ribosomal RNA". It matches the Rfam family "Bacterial small subunit ribosomal RNA", at positions 28 to 507 of the family's 1533-position model. The record is from RNAcentral.